RNAcentral lists this ribosomal RNA (519 nucleotides) under Prosimulium yezoense. Its description in RNAcentral is "partial 16S ribosomal RNA". It matches the Rfam family "Bacterial large subunit ribosomal RNA", at positions 1819 to 2601 of the family's 2925-position model. The record is from RNAcentral. Lineage: Eukaryota; Metazoa; Arthropoda; Insecta; Diptera; Simuliidae.
GUCUUUUUGGUAUAUUAAUAUAAAGUCUGACCUGCCCACUGAUAAUUUUAUUAAAGGGCCGCAGUAUCUUGACUGUGCAAAGGUAGCAUAAUCAUUAGUCUUUUAAUUGGAGGCUGGUAUGAAUGGUUGGAUGAGAUACAAGCUGUGUCAUAUAAAAUUAAUAUUUGAAUUUACCUUUUUAGUCAAAAGGCUAAAAUAUUAUUAAAAGACGAGAAGACCCUAUAGAGCUUUAUAUAAUAGAUAUUUAUUUUAUUUAGAUUUUUUAUGUUUAAUUAUUGUUUUAUAUUUUGUUGGGGUGAUAAUAAAAUUAAUAAAACUUUUAUUUUUUAUUUACAUUAAUUUAUGGUUAAAUGAUCCAGUUUUAUUGAUUAUAAGAUUAAGUUACCUUAGGGAUAACAGCGUAAUUUUUUUUGAGAGUUCUUAUCGAUAAAAAAGAUUGCGACCUCGAUGUUGGAUUAAGAGUAAUUUUGGGUGUAGAAGUUCAAAUUUUAAGUCUGUUCGACUUUUAAAUUCUUACAU